CAAUCACCCGUGUCUCACCCCACUCCCACCCCAGCCGCCAAACGAACCCUAGCCCUCUUUCUCCUUCCCCUCGAUCCCCAUGAGCCGCCGCGCCCCUCCCUCGAUCCCCAGUUCCCCACGAUCCUCUCCUAGCCCGCAGCCACCGGCCUUGUCUCUCCACUCGCCUCCUCCUUUCCUCUACCAUGUCGUUGUCGAUCCCACCGCCGGCCUUCUCCUCUGCUUGCCUCCUCCAGUCCUCUUCCAUGUCACCGUCAAUCCAGAUCGGACCCUCUCCUUGCGCGCCCCGUGUUCCCCCUUCCAGCCGAUUGGGCACAGCCGCACCAACCCUAGCCCCCGAUGCAGCCAUCCACUCCUCCCUCCUCCCCCUCCCCCUCCCACAGCCAUCGCACCCAUCACUUGGCCCCCUGGCGACGCCCGGGUCGGGCCUGGGAAGAAGGUCCGGGCCUGCGAGGGAAAGCAGCGAGGGUUGGUGCAACGGCAAAUGCAGGCGGGAUCUGCCGUGGAGGGAGGCUCGUCAGCCGGAACAACAGGAGCAAGGAGGUCGUGCAGGCGCAAAUGCUGGCGGGGUCGGCCAUGGAAGAAGGCUCGCUGGACGGAGCAUCAAGACCAGGGAAGUCGAGGUGGUUCAGGUUUGCCUCUAUCUCCUCCCCACUCUAUCUUUGCCCUCUCUCUUAUUUUCCCCUUUGUCUUGUGGAUAAGGGCGUCAGUGCACCACGAGGAGUAGAUCGAGCGUGGAACAUAGCAGCAGGAUCAAGGAGCUGCUGGUGGUUCUGGCAACAAGGAGGAUGAUCAAGAAGGAUUGGGGAACACCAGCAAAAAAAGUACUGGGGAAGACGGGCGGGACGAAGGCAUGGAGAUCGUUGUUUGGCGCCAACGUGCGUUUGGUGUUGAUUGCUGGCUGGCUGACUGCGGUGUGCUACCGGCGAUGAGAUCCAGGAGGAGGUGGCGGCGGACAGGAGACGAGGACCUUUUUGCUUGCAUUCUCGUGUCUUUUGGCAAGGAGAAAAUUAUCAUUUGGAGGGGAAAAGACACAUGAAAACAUGCAAGAUAGUAUAUGCAAUUGGCAUACCCUUCAGUUCUUGAAUAAGAGUUCAGUGGUGAAGAACACUACAAUUUUUUGGUUGAUGGAUUGGUCUGAAUAUAUUGUAAGGUAUUUUCCAUGAAGUGGUUAUUCAAAGAAUGGAACCGAUUUUAUGAUUUUGCCUAUUCUCUGAGAUGGAUGAUGAUGAGCGGUGCAACCGAAAAUUCAGAGCUGGGCUUUACACACUUCAGUGGGAGUAGCAUGACAACACCAAGGUAGAGACCUGAAGAGAAGCAAGGGGUUGGACCAAGGAAACUAGAACCAUGUUGUCGUGAUGUGGGUCGUGUCGUCUUCGUCCAUCUCCAUGGAGGUAUAUAUACACAGAGAAAUUUAGAGCUCCACAACCUUCUGAAGACUUAGCAGAGAUGAAGCAAUCAAUCAGUUGAGAUGCACCACAUGAUCUUUUUCUCUUGACAUUGAUGGGUAUUGAACCCAUAGAUCAGCUUAUCAAUGGAACUCUUAUCGAGUUGAGAAGGUGUCACAAAAACUAAAGAGCAGUUUUAACAUGGUCCCUGAUUAACUCUUACCUCCUUACCUAUUAUGUGAAGGGGGUAAGAGGGACCUUGUUAAAAUUAGCGAAAACUCAAAAACAGGGCGAUUAGCUAAGGAAAGAAGCUAAGAAGCAUCAGGAAGGACUUUUAGGAUGGUACCGCGGUCAAUGAGGGACGGAUUGGUUUUUGCUAACUCAUUGGGGAUUAGCUGUUUGGAGGCGGAAUCUGAUUCUCUAUAAGUCAUCAAUUUUUGCUCGGGCCAAACAAGAUGGUGGGACAAAGCGGCAACGCUUUUCGCAGAAUGUGUGGAUUUAAGCACAUCGACCGGGAAGGUCAUCUACAAGCAUUGUUUACAUUCUUGUAACCGUGCAGCAUGUGCUAGCAAACUUCAGUUAUUGUAAUAGGCUUCUUAUAUUUGGUUACAUGAGCCUCCUGACAUGUUGGUUAGGGAGCUUGUGGACGAUGUAAACAUUAUCCAUAAUUAAUAAAGCUAGCCAUGAUGGUCUUUCCUCAAAAA
Triticum aestivum (bread wheat) is the source of this 2089-nucleotide long non-coding RNA. RefSeq lists it as uncharacterized. The record is from RefSeq and is a predicted model, not a curated record. The transcript has 5 exons. Lineage: Eukaryota; Viridiplantae; Streptophyta; Magnoliopsida; Poales; Poaceae.